RNAcentral lists this ribosomal RNA (253 nucleotides) under uncultured bacterium. RNAcentral's name for it is "partial 16S ribosomal RNA". It matches the Rfam family "Bacterial small subunit ribosomal RNA", at positions 524 to 776 of the family's 1533-position model. The record is from RNAcentral.
UACGUAGGGUGCGAGCGUUGUCCGGAAUUAUUGGGCGUAAAGAGCUCGUAGGCGGUUUGUUGCGUCUAUCGUGAAAACCUGCAGCUUAACUGUGGGCUUGCGGUGGAUACGGGCAGACUUGAGUUCGGUAGGGGAGACUGGAAUUCCUGGUGUAGCGGUGAAAUGCGCAGAUAUCAGGAGGAACACCGGUGGCGAAGGCGGGUCUCUGGGCCGAUACUGACGCUGAGGCACGAAAGCGUGGGGAGCAAACAGG